AUUCGUUGGGCCAAAGGCCCAGACUUUUAAUUAGCCUACUCAAUCUCCAAACGACGGUCCAAAUUGGUGACUCCAAGACCUAACCGUCUCCUUCAACGGCAUCGCGAUAACGGCCAUAGUUGCGGCGGUGGAAGCCCCGAUGUCUAAGCUCUCUACUUCAUAACCAUCUAAGAACCUGCUCAAACAGGAGCCAAAUCUCAUUUUGCGGUGGACCUCGCAUUACGAAUGAGGGACAACAACCCGCCGGCAUCCUCCCUAUCCAGAACUCAGACUUCAAUCUCGGCAGCGACGGCGGCGGGGGGAACUAUGAUCUCGGGGAUUCACUUCCCCUGUUCGAGCAUGGAAGCGGGAACACUUGUGUCGAAAAAAGGGAGAAAAAGUUGGAAGGAACUCGCGUCCCCAAUUCGUCUUCGUAACCCAAUCUUGAAGCGAUAAUUUAUGCGAAUAACAAAAUGAAUGAAUAGCAAAGACCUACCGUAUAUUGCAUUUUCGUCGAUGACAAAGAUGACGCUUUCAGAUGCGCGUAUUGCUUCGAUUUCUCAGGUUGAUUGGGAUUGAAAUACAGGUUAGAGAAGCUUAUUGGAUAUUGAGUUUUUAUUGGAUUUUUCUUUUCUUCAAUUUAGUUUUGCAGUCGGUGUCUUGUUGCGGUUUUUAGCCAACUCUAGAAAUACCUCACGAGGGAGCGGCUGCGAGAAGCUGAAGUUAGCCUGGGAUUGAAUGGAAAGCUUAACAUCAUCAAAGAUUUGCUAGCAUGCUCUGAAUGCACUUGAGCAUCUGUUAACACCUCAACAACAUACCGACACCAUAGCUCGAGAAAUUUGAAUAACGUGAGGUUCACAUUCUUCUACACCCAUUGAUUUCAACAAACCAUUGAUAAUCUUCGCAUCCCUUGGCAACGGCGUCGACAACUUCUCCUCAUUAUCUUCCAUAGAACACACCCUACUGUGAAGUGGUUGAAGGUUCGGUUGACGGUUUUAGAAGGUUACAAAGAGGUUUAAUGCAAUGGUUGAAAAUCAAAGGGUUCUAUUGCUCUUCUGGUAGUUUUUAAUUCGUUUUAUUUCUUUUGCUCUGAUGGUAAAGAAUGAAAGAGAAAGAUUGGGCUCCAAUUUGCUGCUCUGUUGGAUGCGAGGGAGGAAUUUAAUUAAGAAAACGAUCCUACCGGUUGGAGUUGAGGAGGGUUAGUGCAAUGGUUGUGUUAUAACAUUUGGCAGGGUGGUUUAUUGGACAAAGAAAUGGAGGUUUAGAAGUUGAAUUUCAUCUUGUUCGCCAUUGAAGAAGUUAGAGGGUGGAGUCCGGUUACGGGUGCCGACGGCUAGAGGAAGUUUUUGUUGUUAGCUUUAAUGGUGUUAUGCUGUUAUUAAUUAUGUUAGUUUGGCAGUGGAUUUGGAGACCCUCCCAUCAUGCCAAAUUUGACGGAAAACGGUACUGCAUCCAGCACGCGUAGUAUUCACGAUGGAUUUCUAUUUUCUAUUCCCAAGUGAAAUGCUUUUGGCACGUCAAAAUGGCCAUGGGUUGAACGUAUGGUUGUAUGGUUGUAAUGGCUUUAUGUUGUAAUUGGAUGGAAAUGUAUGGAUUUGAAAAGUCUUAAAAGAUGAAUAAUGGAAAUUAGAUUGAAAUGCAAUUUGGAACAUGGUUUUGUAAUUUUCAUAGUUUUGGGAUUGAAUGAUUGAAUAAAAAUGCUUAAAGAUUGAAUGUAAUUGGAAAAUUAAAUUGGAGUUGAAAUGGUUUAUGAAUGGAAAUUGAGAUUUUUGAGA
Lathyrus oleraceus (garden pea) is the source of this 1754-nucleotide long non-coding RNA. RefSeq lists it as uncharacterized. The record is from RefSeq and is a predicted model, not a curated record. Lineage: Eukaryota; Viridiplantae; Streptophyta; Magnoliopsida; Fabales; Fabaceae. The transcript has 2 exons.